GUGAGCCUUAGAAUUAUCCCACCUCGCUUAACUUGGGAGGAGGAAGCCACUUUAAAAGGGAGAGCCACCCUUCCCCCAUUGGACUAGUCUUUUGGUGCGAUUGGGCCUUUCCCUAAGUUGGGUGUGCUUAAUAAAUUGUUGGGCUCCGGGCAACCUAACUUGUUGGGCCUCGACCAACCCCACCUGGGCUGGGUGUAUCAUCUGGUAUCAGAGCUAGGGCCCAUUUUAAGAAGGUGGAAAUGAUGAGGACAUCCUCCACUAUUACCCAUUGGCAAAGACGCAAUUGGCCUAGUUGGCCCAAUUGUAGUCGGACAGCGAUUGUGUGAGCCUCAGAAUUAUCCCACCUCGCUUAACUUGGGAGGAGGAAGCCACUUUAAAAGGGAGAGCCACCCUUCCCCCAUUGGACUAGUCUUUUGGGGCGAUUGGGCCUUUCCUUGAGUUGGGUGUGCUUAAUGAACUGUUGGGCUCCGGGCAACCCUAACUUGUUGGACCUUGGCCAACCCCACCUGGGCUGGGUGUAUCACCUAUCAUCUGUGAAAUUGACAUUGUGGAACAUGCCCUGAUGUGAAGUUUGGUUGAUAUUAUGGCCAAAAUCAAACUGUCUGGUGAGAUGCGG
RNAcentral lists this long non-coding RNA (616 nucleotides) under Zea mays. RNAcentral's name for it is "long non-coding RNA (ZMAY_LNC004924)". The record is from RNAcentral. Lineage: Eukaryota; Viridiplantae; Streptophyta; Magnoliopsida; Poales; Poaceae.